This is a non-coding RNA of Exophiala sideris, 121 nucleotides long. Lineage: Eukaryota; Fungi; Ascomycota; Eurotiomycetes; Chaetothyriales; Herpotrichiellaceae. The record is from Rfam.
GGAUUGUUAGCUCAAGGGUUAUAGCGACAGGGGAGAAUGGAUCGGUAUGAUCGAUCCAGGUUGGAUAUGUAUCAUACAAUCCCCGACCUGCAGGCUGUAGGUUCGAGUCCUACACAAUCCA